GCGGAUGUAUCUCAAUGGUAGAGUACAAUCCUUCCAAGUUUGACGUUGCGGGUUCGAGUCCCGUCAUCCGCU
This 72-nucleotide transfer RNA is filed under the name Chlamydomonas priscui. RNAcentral describes it as "Chlamydomonas sp. UWO 241 tRNA-Gly". It matches the Rfam family "tRNA". Rfam says of the family: Transfer RNA (tRNA) molecules are approximately 80 nucleotides in length. The record is from RNAcentral. Lineage: Eukaryota; Viridiplantae; Chlorophyta; Chlorophyceae; Chlamydomonadales; Chlamydomonadaceae.